Molecule: long non-coding RNA, 1253 nt
Organism: Harpia harpyja (harpy eagle)
Lineage: Eukaryota; Metazoa; Chordata; Aves; Accipitriformes; Accipitridae
Exons: 2
Source: RefSeq, a predicted model, not a curated record
CCCCCCCCCUUACCGGCGGUCGGCGCCGCGCUGCGGGGGCGGCGGCGGCGGCAGGCAGGCACCAGUCACGCCGGGAACCAUGGAAAGGAGCCGGGACGGGAGACCUCAGGGACGCCCAAACUUCAUCUAAGGGUCAUCUCUGCAAUUUACCCAGAUCCAGAACGCUACACCUACUAUGUGAAACUGGUGCAAACUGGUAUCAUUGCCACGGGUAACAGAGAUGGCUUGGAAACUACACAUCCCAACAUGCAAGGCCCCACCAGUGCAGGCUGCUCUAUGCUACGGGAGGAAGGAGUUUUGCUGGGGUGCAUUUGCCUCGCAUGCCUCGUUGCGGCCAUAUCAGCCUAAGUCAUGCAGCUGCCUGCACGCAAUGCUCUACACAGUGCAAAAACGAAGACCUCUACACAUCUGGAGUAAGAACAGUGGUAACAAAGUCAUAGCUACAUAUUCUUCUCUACAUUUUUGUUUAUUGAGACAAACUAAUUAAAAGGCACAAACAUAGGGCAUAUGUUUACAUGGACAUUAUAACAAACAUAUACAUUAAAAGUGUAGGAAUGUGUUUCCUUUCUGCUAAACAGAAAGUUCCUAAGCUUUUAUAUAUACAAAAGUUGUACAAUUUGAUGUCCUAAAGUACAAAAGAUCAUUUAUAAAAUUAUUUUACACUAAGCUCUAUUUUUUUUUUUGUUUUUGUUGUACUAUGUAGUCCAAGCCCCUAGAACAGUUUCACGUAAUGAUACAGAUACCUGUCACCUGAGCCAGCAGCCUGGCAAUCACUGCUUGUACUGACACGGCAGGGUAGAAACGGAAGCAGUCCAUUUUGACUAGUCAGUCCUGCUAGCACUCUGUGAAAAUGCGCACACGCUAAUCUCCAUAGCUUUCAACUUCAUUAAGAUAAAAACAUCUCAACUGUAAUUUUAUUUUUUUUUUUUAAUGUAGAGUCUUGGGUUUAGGGUGGUUUUUUUUUAAACAAAGUUUUAAAAACGUGAAUAUGUGACAUGAUAGUCUAAAAAGUAUAUCUGUUUCCCUAGAUUUUGCUUUCUACUUUAUGUACAGAUAAACAGGUUAAGAAAUAAAAAGCACAUGUAGCUUAAACAUGUGUGACCAUUUGUGGAGAAGUUCUGGGCUGGAUAGUUCAAACCAUCACCCCAGAACUCCCACAAAUUGAUAGAAAUGUGUUAACACAAUAGAAGAAUAACGUAAAAAUGAUGAUGUUUGCAAAUAUUUACAAAGUUGAACAGAUUUGCACAACACUU